Non-coding RNA from Castor canadensis (American beaver), 1174 nucleotides. The record is from RefSeq and is a predicted model, not a curated record. Lineage: Eukaryota; Metazoa; Chordata; Mammalia; Rodentia; Castoridae.
ACCAUGCUCUCCGUCCGCGUCCCGCUCGCCACCAUCGCGGACCAGCAGCAGCUGCAGCUCUGGCCACUGAGCCACUGAAGGGACUCAGCCUGGCGGACAAGGAGAACACGCCUCCGGCCCUCAGCGGGACCCGUGUCCUGGCCAGCAAGACCGCGAGGAGGAUCUUCCAAGAGCCCAGCCGAAACCUGACAUACCUGCCCCCGGCGUGGAGGAUGAACCACUCCUGAGAGAAAAGCCCCGUCGCUUUGUCAUCUUUCCUAUCGAGGAUCACGAUAUCUGGCAGAUGUAUAAGAAGGCCGAGGCUUCCCUCUGGACAGCUGAGGAGGUGGAUCUUUCCAAGGACAUCCAGCCCCGGGAGGUGCUGAAGCCGGAGGAGAGAUACUUCAUAGCUCAUCCGUUCUCGCUUUCUUUGCAGCCAGUGAUGGCCUAGUGAAUGAAAAUUGGGUGGAGCGAUUUAGCCAAGAAGUGCAAAUUACAGAAGUCCGCUGUUUCUGUGGCUUCCAAAUUGCCAUGGAAAACAUACAUUCUGAAAUGUACAGUCUCCUUAUUGACACUUACAUUAAAGAUCCCAAAGAAAGGGAAUUUCUCUUCAAUGCCAUUGAGACAAUGCCUUGUGUGAAGAAGAAGGCAGAUUGGGCCUUGCGUUGGAUUGGGGGCAAAGGGCCACCUAUGGAGAACGUGUUGUAGCCUUUGCCGCCCUGGAAGGACUCUUCUUUUCCGGUUCUUUUGCGUCAAUAUUCUGGCUCAAGAAACGAAGACUGAUGCCAGGGCUUACGUUUUCCAAUGAGCUUAUUAUCAGAGAUGAGGGUUUACACUGUGACUUUGCCUGCCUGAUGUUCAGACACCUGCUCCAUAAACGUCGGAGCAGAGAGUAAAAGAAGUAAUUAUCAAUGCUGUUAGGAUGGAACAGGAGCUCCUCACGGAGGCCUUGCCAGUGAAGUUUAUUGACAUGAACUGCACUUUAAUGAAGCAGUACAUUGAGUUUGUGGCAGACAGGCUUAUGCUGGAGCUGGGUUUUAGCAAGGUUUUCAGAGUAGAGAAUCCAUUUGACUUCAUGGAGAACAUUUCUCUGGAAGGGAAGACUAACUUCUUUAAGAGAGUAGGUGAGUGUCAGCGGAUGGGAGUGAUGUGGAGUCCUACAGAGAAUUCUUUUACCUUGGAUGCUGACUUCUAA